CAAUACCGGACUAUGAAAGCCCACCUCCGAUGAGACGUAGGUUUUCAUAGUACCAGUACCU
Non-coding RNA from Plutella xylostella (diamondback moth), 61 nucleotides. Lineage: Eukaryota; Metazoa; Arthropoda; Insecta; Lepidoptera; Plutellidae. The record is from Rfam.